AACGCAUAUUGCGCCCUCUGGUAUUCCGGGGGGCACACCUGUUCGAGCGCCAUUUCAACCCUCAAGCAUAGCUUGGUGUUGGGCAUGGUCUAGUGACCUACCCGUAACUCGUAGGCGGCCGACACCCGCUCCCCUAGCGUAGCAGGCUUAAUGCACUCGCUCGGGGACGACGUUGCGGCUAUGCCAGUCAUAUACUCAAGGUUUGGCCUCGGAUCAGGUGGGGAUACCCGCUGAACUUAA
This 240-nucleotide unclassified non-coding RNA is filed under the name uncultured fungus. Its description in RNAcentral is "sequence contains ITS2". The record is from RNAcentral. Lineage: Eukaryota; Fungi.